AACGAACGCUGGCGGCAUGCCUAACACAUGCAAGUCGAACGAGACCUUCGGGUCUAGUGGCGCACGGGUGCGUAACGCGUGGGAAGCUGCCCUUAGGUUCGGUAUAACUCCCCGAAAGGGGUGCUAAUACCGGGUAAUGUCUUCGGACCAAAGAUUUAUCGCCUUUGGAUGGGCCCGCGUUGGGUUAGCUAGUUGGUAGGGUAAAAGCCUACCAAGGCGACGAUCCAUAGCUGGGCUGAGCGGAUGAUCAGCCACACUGGGACUGAGACACGGCCCAGACUCCUACGGGAGGCAGCAGUGGGGAAUAUUGGACAAUGGGCGAAAGACUGAUCCAGCAAUGCCGCGUGAGUGAUGAAGGCCUUAGGGUUGUAAAGCUCUUUUAACCGGGAUGAUAAUGACAGUACCGGGAGAAUAAGCGCCGGCUAACCCCGUG
This 433-nucleotide ribosomal RNA is filed under the name uncultured bacterium. Its description in RNAcentral is "partial 16S ribosomal RNA". It matches the Rfam family "Bacterial small subunit ribosomal RNA", at positions 29 to 507 of the family's 1533-position model. The record is from RNAcentral.